AACGAACGCUGGCGGCAUGCCUAACACAUGCCAGUCGAACGAGACCUUCGGGUCUAGUGGCGCACGGGUGCGUAACGCGUGGGAACCUGCCCUUAGGUUCGGAAUAACUCCCCGAAAGGGGUGCUAAUACCGGAUAAUGUCUUCGGACCAAAGAUUUAUCGCCUUUGGAUGGGCCCGCGUUGGAUUAGCUAGUUGGUAGGGUAAAAGCCUACCAAGGCGACGAUCCAUAGCUGGUCUGAGGGGAUGAUCAGCCACACUGGGACUGAGACACGGCCCAGACUCCUACGGGAGGCAGCAGUGGGGAAUAUUGGACAAUGGGCGAAAGCCUGAUCCAGCAAUGCCGCGUGAGUGAUGAAGGCCUUAGGGUUGUAAAGCUCUUUUACCCGGGAUGAUAAUGACAGUACCGGGAGAAUAAGCUCCGGCUAACUCCGU
This 432-nucleotide ribosomal RNA is filed under the name uncultured bacterium. Its description in RNAcentral is "partial 16S ribosomal RNA". It matches the Rfam family "Bacterial small subunit ribosomal RNA", at positions 29 to 506 of the family's 1533-position model. The record is from RNAcentral.